CGAAUAAGUGAAUAAAGAGAGCUGUCCGUCGACAGUCCAGAAACUAUUUAAUAUCACUGUCAUGGAAUUGCUCUCUUUGUAUAAUAUUCG
This is a microRNA precursor of Drosophila melanogaster (fruit fly), 90 nucleotides long. It matches the Rfam family "mir-46/mir-47/mir-281 microRNA precursor family". Rfam says of the family: The hairpin precursors (represented here) are predicted based on base pairing and cross-species conservation -- their extents are not known. Lineage: Eukaryota; Metazoa; Arthropoda; Insecta; Diptera; Drosophilidae. The record is from Rfam.